AAACGACUCUCGGCAACGGAUAUCUCGGCUCUCGCAUCGAUGAAGAACGUAGCGAAAUGCGAUACUUGGUGUGAAUUGCAGAAUCCCGUGAACCAUCGAGUCUUUGAACGCAAGUUGCGCCUCAAGCCUUCGGGCCGAGGGCACGUCUGCCUGGGUGUCACAA
This 163-nucleotide ribosomal RNA is filed under the name Aethionema grandiflorum. RNAcentral's name for it is "5.8S ribosomal RNA". It matches the Rfam family "5.8S ribosomal RNA". Rfam says of the family: 5.8S ribosomal RNA (5.8S rRNA) is a component of the large subunit of the eukaryotic ribosome. It is transcribed by RNA polymerase I as part of the 45S precursor that also contains 18S and 28S rRNA. The record is from RNAcentral. Lineage: Eukaryota; Viridiplantae; Streptophyta; Magnoliopsida; Brassicales; Brassicaceae.